GCGGAGUGAAUCACUACUGGAUAUCUUCAGCUUCCCAAGCUGAUAGCGCGGGUUCGAUUCCCGUCAUCCGCU
RNAcentral lists this transfer RNA (72 nucleotides) under Agromyces sp. ISL-38. RNAcentral describes it as "tRNA-Gly". The record is from RNAcentral. Lineage: Bacteria; Bacillati; Actinomycetota; Actinomycetes; Micrococcales; Microbacteriaceae. RNAcentral also lists the same sequence under 2 other names.